AGCAUAUUUAAAUAUUGUUAUUGUACUGUUUCUGUAUAUGUUUGAAGAUUAUACAUUUUUAAAAAGUAUGUACUUAUCAGACACCACUUAAUCCUCUGCUCUUUUCUUUCUAUUUCUCCACUGUGAUUUUCUUAGGAAGAUGAAACACUGAAUUAGGAAAUCUGGGAAACUGCAGACACAUUUUCUAACAUGUUCAAAUCAGGAAAAAAAAGGAGAAAGGGUGAAGAAGUUUACACUCAAUAUACUAAUAGCUCCUGGCUUUUGCACCUCAACCCAGAUUUUAUAACUAUAAUAAAAAUAUUAAUUCAUUCUCAGGCUUCAUACUAUAUAAACUACGUAGUUCUUUUUUUU
This 351-nucleotide long non-coding RNA is filed under the name Macaca fascicularis (crab-eating macaque). RNAcentral's name for it is "lncRNA (ENSMFAG00000048680.1)". The record is from RNAcentral. Lineage: Eukaryota; Metazoa; Chordata; Mammalia; Primates; Cercopithecidae.